Molecule: non-coding RNA, 130 nt
Filed under: Wenzhouxiangella marina
Lineage: Bacteria; Pseudomonadati; Pseudomonadota; Gammaproteobacteria; Chromatiales; Wenzhouxiangellaceae
Description: TPP sequence
Rfam family: TPP riboswitch aptamer (THI element)
About the family: Vitamin B(1) in its active form thiamin pyrophosphate (TPP) is an essential coenzyme that is synthesised by coupling of pyrimidine and thiazole moieties in bacteria. The previously detected thiamin-regulatory element, thi box was extended, resulting in a new, highly conserved RNA secondary structure, the THI element, which is widely distributed in eubacteria and also occurs in some archaea.
Source: Rfam by way of RNAcentral
GGCGAUUCCUCGGGGUGGCGCUUGCGCCUGAGACAGCCCGAGCCUGGCCGAGCACGACGGCCGGGUUCCUGCUGGACCCGUUGAACCUGAUCCGGUUAAUGCCGGCGUAGGGAAGGAACGGAGAACCACC